Molecule: ribosomal RNA, 508 nt
Filed under: uncultured bacterium
Lineage: Bacteria
Description: partial 16S ribosomal RNA
Rfam family: Bacterial small subunit ribosomal RNA
Source: RNAcentral
GAUGAACGCUAGCUACAGGCUUAACACAUGCAAGUCGAGGGGCAGCAUGGUCUUAGCUUGCUAAGGCUGAUGGCGACCGGCGCACGGGUGAGUAACACGUAUCCAACCUGCCGUCUACUCUUGGCCAGCCUUCUGAAAGGAAGAUUAAUCCAGGAUGGGAUCAUGAGUUCACAUGUCCGCAUGAUUAAAGGUAUUUUCCGGUAGACGAUGGGGAUGGGUUCCAUUAGAUAGUAGGCGGGGUAACGGCCCACCUAGUCAACGAUGGAUAGGGGUUCUGAGAGGAAGGUACCCCCAAUUGGAACUGAGACACGGUCCAAACUCCUACGGGAGGCAGCAGUGAGGAAUAUUGGUCAAUGGGCGAUGGCCUGAACCAGCCAAGUAGCGUGAAGGAUGACUGCCCUAUGGGUUGUAAACUUCUUUUAUAAAGGAAUAAAGUCGGGUAUGCAUACCCGUUUGCAUGUACUUUAUGAAUAAGGAUCGGCUAACUCCGUGCCAGCCGCCGCCGUAA